AGGAAAGGAAAGGAAAGGGGAAGAAAGUAAAGGAAUCAUUUCCCCCCCUCUCUCUCACUCCUCUCUUCUUAAUUCUCUACUUCUCUUCUCUUCUCUUCUCUUCUCUUUGGCCCCACCAACAAUUAAGCUGAGAAGAAAGAAGAGACAGAAAGGAAGGAAGGAAGGAAGGAAGGAAGAAAACAAAA
Molecule: non-coding RNA, 185 nt
Filed under: Chromera velia
Lineage: Eukaryota; Chromeraceae
Source: RNAcentral